This 374-nucleotide ribosomal RNA is filed under the name uncultured organism. RNAcentral describes it as "bacterial SSU rRNA". It matches the Rfam family "Bacterial small subunit ribosomal RNA", at positions 526 to 896 of the family's 1533-position model. The record is from RNAcentral.
CGGAGGGUGCAAGCGUUAAUCGGAAUUACUGGGCGUAAAGCGCGCGUAGGCGGUUUAAUAAGCGGAAGUGUGAAAUCCCCGGGGCUCAACCUGGGAACUGCAUUCCGAACUGUUAAGCUAGAGUAUGGUAGAGGGUGGCGGAAUUCCGAGUGUAGCGGUGAAAUGCGUAGAUAUUCGGAGGAACACCAGUGGCGAAGGCGGCCACCUGGACCAAUACUGACGCUGAGGCGCGGAAAGCGUGGGGAGCAAACAGGAUUAGAUACCCUGGUAGUCCACGCUGUAAACGAUGUCAACUAGCCGUUGGAGUCUUUAAGGCUUUAGUGGUGCAGCUAACGCGAUAAGUUGACCGCCUGGGGAGUACGGUCGCAAGAUUA